This is a long non-coding RNA of Anolis carolinensis (green anole), 818 nucleotides long. RefSeq lists it as uncharacterized. The transcript is spliced from 4 exons. The record is from RefSeq and is a predicted model, not a curated record. NCBI's taxonomy places the organism in Eukaryota, Metazoa, Chordata, Lepidosauria, Squamata, Anolidae.
UAAAAUGCCUUUAAGGCAGGGGUGCCACAGCUGAAGAUUAUCCAGCUAUUAACUGCAGCUUAUUUUAUUAAAUACAUGAACAUGCUAUGAAAAAAGGACAAUUGAUGCUGAAUUUAUAAUAUGGGCCCAAGGCAAGCAGAAUGGAAAAUCAUCGAUUCCCAAUGUCACAUCUAAUUUGUAGAAGAGCCAUUAUCUCUUCACUCACCCUACAUCAAGAAGGGCUUAAAAACAGUGGACCAUGUUACAGUAUUUAAAAUGUAUUGGACUAUCUUGCUGUUAGACUGGAAUGGGCAAUCUACCAUGAGGAUUCCUACGGCCCCUCCAUAAUCCCACCCCUUCAGUUCCUCCUAUUGAGUUUUCCAUGGAAGGAGGGAGGGUAGAAGAAGAGGAAGGAGGACGGUAGAAGGAGGGGAAGAGGACGAGAACAGUGACACCUGGAGAUGAAAAUAGGUUUUUCAGAUCUAGAAGCAUUAAUCCACAAGGAUUUUGUUGCCAAAACAUCUGAAAGGUAACAACUGCAACCCUGCCAGAACAUGAGGAAGAGAAUGCUCUCCGUUGGCACUGAAGGCAAGAUUUUCUGGUAUAGCAGAAGAAAUAAUUACUGCAAUAUUUCUUUCCACAGCCAGCUUUCCCCCUGAAGACAUAUUGCAGUGUGAGAGCUGAUUUAGCAAAGAGGAAAAAAAAAUCUGACAUCAAACAUGUCUGUUUCAAAAUCAUGCACUACUCACCCAAUACGUUUAACUAAAAUGAAGGCUUUUAUGCUUGACAUUGUGAAAGCAAGCUUAUCAUCUGUGAAACUAAUAAAAAUAUUUAUUGUU